GGAGGCGCUAACAUCGGCGGCGUGGAACGGUCUUGAAAACCGUACGUUCGAAAGGACGUGUGAGUUCGAAUCUCACCGCCUCCGC
Molecule: transfer RNA, 85 nt
Filed under: Streptomyces phage Gilson
Lineage: Duplodnaviria; Heunggongvirae; Uroviricota; Caudoviricetes; Stanwilliamsviridae
Also listed under: 6 other names
Description: tRNA-Ser
Rfam family: tRNA (bases 16-84)
About the family: Transfer RNA (tRNA) molecules are approximately 80 nucleotides in length. Their secondary structure includes four short double-helical elements and three loops (D, anti-codon, and T loops). Further hydrogen bonds mediate the characteristic L-shaped molecular structure. tRNAs have two regions of fundamental functional importance: the anti-codon, which is responsible for specific mRNA codon recognition, and the 3' end, to which the tRNAs corresponding amino acid is attached (by aminoacyl-tRNA synthetases). tRNAs cope with the degeneracy of the genetic code in two manners: having more than one tRNA (with a specific anti-codon) for a particular amino acid; and 'wobble' base-pairing, i.e. permitting non-standard base-pairing at the 3rd anti-codon position.
Source: RNAcentral